GAUGAACGCUGGCGGCGUGCCUAAUACAUGCAAGUCGAGCGAACAGACGCGGCGCUUGCUCCGCUGACGUUAGCGGCGGACGGGUGAGUAACACGUGGAUCCCCUACCUAUCAGACUGGGAUAACCUCGGGACACGGGCGCUAAUCCGGGAUAAUCUCUUGAACCGCAUGGUUCAAUAGAGAAAGUCGGUUUUGCUGUCACUUCUAGCUGCUUCUGCGCUGGAUUAGGUAGUUGUUAAGGUAACGGCUUACGAAGGCAACUAUGCGUAGCCGACGGGAGAGGGUGAUCGGCCACCCUGGAACGGAGACAGGGACCAGACUCCUACGGGAGGCAGCAGUAGGGAAUGGGACGCAGUGGGCGAAAGCAUGACGGAGCAGCGCCGCGUGAGUGAUGAAGGUCUUCGGAUCGUAAAACUCGGUUACGGGGGGUAAACAAAUGUGUAAGUAACUAUGCACGGCGUGACGGUAACUAAUCAGAAAGCCACGGCUAACUACGUG
This 497-nucleotide ribosomal RNA is filed under the name uncultured bacterium. Its description in RNAcentral is "partial 16S ribosomal RNA". It matches the Rfam family "Bacterial small subunit ribosomal RNA", at positions 28 to 507 of the family's 1533-position model. The record is from RNAcentral.